Long non-coding RNA from Myotis davidii, 98 nucleotides. RefSeq lists it as uncharacterized. NCBI's taxonomy places the organism in Eukaryota, Metazoa, Chordata, Mammalia, Chiroptera, Vespertilionidae. The record is from RefSeq and is a predicted model, not a curated record. The transcript is spliced from 3 exons.
GACAAGUUCUUCCUUCGAGGGUAGGUGCUGAGGUCUUACCCUUCACUGUUUCCACAGCACCUGGUGGACACAUAAUACCUCUCCUGUCGUGGAGGUCU